Molecule: ribosomal RNA, 496 nt
Filed under: uncultured bacterium
Lineage: Bacteria
Description: partial 16S ribosomal RNA
Rfam family: Bacterial small subunit ribosomal RNA
Source: RNAcentral
AUGAACGCUGGCCGCGUGCCUAAUACCUGCAAGUCGAGCGAACAGACGAGGAGCUUGCUCCUCUGACGUUAGCGGCGGACGGGUGAGUAACACGUGGAUAACCUACCUAUAAGACUGGGAUAACUUCGGGAAACCGGAGCUAAUACCGGAUAAUAUAUUGAACCGCAUGGUUCAAUAGUGAAAGACGGUUUUGCUGUCACUUAUAGAUGGAUCCGCGCCGCAUUAGCUAGUUGGUAAGGUAACGGCUUACCAAGGCAACGAUGCGUAGCCGACCUGAGAGGGUGAUCGGCCACACUGGAACUGAGACACGGUCCAGACUCCUACGGGAGGCAGCAGUAGGGAAUCUUCCGCAAUGGGCGAAAGCCUGACGGAGCAACGCCGCGUGAGUGAUGAAGGUCUUCGGAUCGUAAAACUCUGUUAUUAGGGAAGAACAAAUGUGUAAGUAACUAUGCACGUCUUGACGGUACCUAAUCAGAAAGCCACGGCUAACUACGUG